CCAAGAUGGCCGCAACUGUAAUUCUGCCCCCAAUCAGCCCCUACUUCAAGUACUCUGUCAUGAUCAACAAGGCCACACCCUACAACUACCCAGUGCCUGUCCGCGAUGAUGGGAACAUGCCCGACAUACCCAGCCACCCCCAGGACCCCCAGGGGCCCAGCCUGGAGUGGCUGAAGAACCUGUGAGCACCUCCACUGACCAAGGCGGGCCCUCUCUCGGCCCCCAAUAAAAAUGUGAAAACCAAAAAA
Sapajus apella (tufted capuchin) is the source of this 248-nucleotide RNA transcript. It is a transcript of the gene named NADH dehydrogenase [ubiquinone] 1 alpha subcomplex subunit 3 pseudogene, with no coding region annotated. The transcript has a single exon. Lineage: Eukaryota; Metazoa; Chordata; Mammalia; Primates; Cebidae. The record is from RefSeq and is a predicted model, not a curated record.